Ostrea edulis (European flat oyster) is the source of this 1578-nucleotide long non-coding RNA. RefSeq lists it as uncharacterized. The record is from RefSeq and is a predicted model, not a curated record. The transcript is spliced from 2 exons. Lineage: Eukaryota; Metazoa; Mollusca; Bivalvia; Ostreida; Ostreidae.
UUCCCCCAAACGCAUUAAUUUAGGAAUUAAACUUGAAACAUACCCCCACUCUGAUAUACGAGCAGUCUAUUACAUCACCGAGCGACUGCUUGACCUAAAUAAAGGCUCACAAAUUUACCGAGUGAUGCCACCCAACGAAACCUGCACUCCUCGGUGACGACCAACAACAACCAUUCACACAAUUGAAUGAAAUAUUUAUGUAUUGCUGACGACCAAUCACAACCUAUUCACACAAUGGAAUGAAAUAUCUAUAUAUCGCUGACGACCAAUCACAACCUAUUCACACAAUGGAAUGAAAUAUUUAUGUAUCGCUGACGACCAAUCACAACCCAUUCACACAAUGGAAUGAAAUAUCUAUGUAUCGCUGACGACCAAUCACAAUUCAUUCACACAAUGGAAUGAAAUAUUUAUGUAUCGUUGACGACCAAUCACAACCUAUUCACACAAUGGAAUGAAAUAUUUAUGUAUCGCUGACGACCAAUCACAACCUAUUCACACAAUGGAAUGAAAUAUCUAUAUAUCGCUGACGACCAAUCACAACCUAUUCACACAAUGGAAUGAAAUACUUAUGUAUCGCUGACGACCAAUCGCAAUUCAUUGACACAAUGAAAUGAAUAUUUAUGUAUCGCGGACGACCAAUCACAACUUCCUGAUACAGUGGAAUGAAAUAAUUAAUAUCAUUGUGUAAUCUUUACUUACUUUUGUGAUACGUCAAGCUCAAUGAAACACGUAAAUCUCCUUUCUUUUUUUUUGGUGUUACUUGUUUUUUUAACUCUCUAUUUUGUAUUGCUUAUAGGAGUUAUAGAAUUGAUCACUGUUCUUUAUUUUUAAACCAAGUGAAGCUUUUUGAUUUCAUGUCAAUUUCUAAACUGAUUUUGUAAACACGAAAAUCCUCCUCUCCUAUCUUUAACCUGUCCGCUCUCCUAAGGUUUUCCACGUGAAUAUAAAUCAUUAUCUCACGAUAUACCCUCGAUUUGUCCGAUGAUAUGAAGCAACAUUGUGUAUGAAUGUCUAUCACCGAAUAAAUAUCUGGUUCGUGUUUAUCUUCAGAUACGAAUAACAUUAGACAUAGAGAUGGACGAAUCAAAGAGUUCGACCCCGGCAAUAGUUGUAUGUGUGAGAGAGUAUGGUGGUCGCUUGCUCGGACACGUGGGGUUUUCCCCGAGGAAGUCCGGCUUCCAAUCUUCCCACAUAAUGACCCCUAGCACCAACAUCCGUGCAUCAAAGGAUCCCAUUGAAAAUAAUCUUUCAAGCUUUCAUGGGUUAUAUAUGUACAUGUAACACUCAGCAGGUGUAAAUAUAGGUGUCAUUAUACAAUGUAUAUUAAGAGAUAAGGUCUCUAUGAACAACAUAGAUAAAGUAACUUCAUUAGAAUAACGUAUUGUGAUGCCUUUACAGAUGUCUAUAUUUGAGUAUAACACAUUACUAAAGAAUUGCCAUGUCUAUGGUUAUUAAAAGAUUAUCACGCUAUAGGAAUGCUUUAUAUAGAAAUGUACCUAGGUUGCACAAAACCCUUAGGUUAUUAGUACUAAGUAACUGUACAAAUUUGAAUGCACUUGUUUUUCCCCCCAGUAAUAU